GACCGUUAGUUUUGGCGAAAGACAAACUAUCCACUGCCAGUACACCUCUGGCUGUUCAAUGGCAUCACGAAUUGAGCGUCUCGCCCGGCCUAAUCCCAACCUACUUAAAUUCCCUGACAGCCCCCGAAGAUGUGUUGGUUUCUGCGCCAUCAUAAGUCACUGACAAAAGUUGCUUUUUUGCAUUUUGUUCAACGUACCCUAUCUCUUCAUACAUUCAGAGGGUGGGACCCUCAUUAAUUGGUGUCACUACAGGCGCUCCGUAUACUGGUUGGAUGAGCUUCCAGCAAAAUCAAAGCGGUCCACUACUGUCUUUGAGAGUCUCCUGAGUGGAAGGUGGGCGCAGCCACAUUAAAGGCUCGUCCCUCUGAAAGAGUGUGUUCACUCGCUCGACCCCGUCAGCCUGCAGUCGGCUGGCAGCCUGAUCGCCCCCUAUUGACCACAUAUGGUAUGGGAGUGAGAACUAUAGCUAAAGCCAGUCCUCGGAUCUGCCAGUUGGCUCAACCAAAAAAGUCAAGAAUGCCAUUGACUCCAGCAUUCAACAGCACUAAUAGCUGUUUGACACUUCUCCCACAAGCCAAGCCUUCUUCUCAUAUACACCUCCUGGCCAUUCCUAAAAAGGAGCAUCCUCAUUAUCGUCCAAACCAACCUGUGUCAUCGCACGUGCCAAGGUCCGUCCUGGAAGCUGUAGCCAGUGAGAGGCUGCAGGUGCUGGCCAUACCAAAGCCCCGCAAUCCUCUUUAUGAGGGAUUCGAUCCCUAUAAAGUGAGCUUGGCUGCUCGUGUUGCUACUGCAUCCCCAAGAAUACAGGAACUGUCACAACCCCCGGCACGCAGGUGCAGGAAAACAUCAG
Ictalurus punctatus (channel catfish) is the source of this 850-nucleotide long non-coding RNA. Lineage: Eukaryota; Metazoa; Chordata; Actinopteri; Siluriformes; Ictaluridae. The record is from Ensembl.